Molecule: ribosomal RNA, 264 nt
Filed under: uncultured bacterium
Lineage: Bacteria
Description: partial 16S ribosomal RNA
Rfam family: Bacterial small subunit ribosomal RNA
Source: RNAcentral
UUCGAGUGGCGGACGGGUGAGUAACGCGUGGGUAACCUGCCUUACACAGGGGGAUAACACCUGGAAACAGGUGCUAAUACCGCAUAAGCGCACAGGGCCGCAUGGCCCGGUGUGAAAAACUCCGGUGGUGUAAGAUGGACCCGCGUCUGAUUAGCUUGUUGGCGGGGUAGAGGCCCACCAAGGCGACGAUCAGUAGCCGGCCUGAGAGGGUGGACGGCCACAUUGGGACCGAGACACGGCCCAAACUCCUACGGAAGGCAGCAG